This 128-nucleotide ribosomal RNA is filed under the name uncultured bacterium. Its description in RNAcentral is "partial 16S ribosomal RNA". It matches the Rfam family "Bacterial small subunit ribosomal RNA", at positions 386 to 529 of the family's 1533-position model. The record is from RNAcentral.
ACGGAGCACGCCGCGUGAGGGAAGAAGGCCUUUGGGUUGUAAACCUCUUUUCUCAGGGAAGAAGUCAGUGACGGUACCUGAGGAAUCAGCUUCGGCUAACUCCGUGCCAGCCGCCGGGGUAAUACGUG